AUAGAUAUGAUGGAGCUCCUGUUCAGGCCAAAACAAGAAAGAAAGAAAGAUAUACAAUUAGAAGGGGAAUAGCAGCUGCUGAGUCAUGGAUACCCUUUAAUUUGGUUUCAAGCUAAUUAAUAAGCUGCUGCUGCUGCUGCUGCUGCUGCUAGCUAAGCUUAAUUGCAGGUUAAAAGGGUUUGCAUGAACCAGGAGAUGAUAUUUUUCUCCUUCUUCUUCUCUUAUUUGGUUUGAAGGGAGCUCUAUUUAUUUACUAA
This 257-nucleotide microRNA precursor is filed under the name Macleaya cordata. RNAcentral's name for it is "MIR159 microRNA precursor family". It matches the Rfam family "MIR159 microRNA precursor family". Lineage: Eukaryota; Viridiplantae; Streptophyta; Magnoliopsida; Ranunculales; Papaveraceae. The record is from Rfam by way of RNAcentral.